Tachysurus fulvidraco (yellow catfish) is the source of this 601-nucleotide long non-coding RNA. RefSeq lists it as uncharacterized. NCBI's taxonomy places the organism in Eukaryota, Metazoa, Chordata, Actinopteri, Siluriformes, Bagridae. The transcript is spliced from 2 exons. The record is from RefSeq and is a predicted model, not a curated record.
GUCUGUCUUCAUUAUACCGCCAUCUCCGGUAUAUUUUAUAAUCUCGUAAUUUUCCUUUCAAAAGUGACACUGCCACCAGAGAAACACCUCAUUCCUGGAUAAAUGACUCAUAGUCAACGAGAAGAAAAUGAAGCAUCAUGUCACAGAUCCCAUAAGAGGCCAGCAAAUGUGAUCGUCUAUUCAUACACCACUGUUAUUUGUCUAUAAGAGACUGACAGUAGAAGAAGUAUAGUGCUGACAGCUUUGUUACAUAUCAAACAAAUCUCAAGCUAUUUGGUUAAAGCUGAAUUGAUAAAAUGUCUGUAAUAUGGUGACUUGCUUAUUUCCUAUGAUAUUUUUAUUGUUGCUAAAAAUGCUCGAUUUUGCAAAAAUGUUGUGGAAAAGUACUUGAAAUGGUGAAAUUGCAAGCACACAAAGACACAUAAUUUACUUGCUAUAAGAACUGUACUCAUGUUCAGUGCAUGUAAAACAAAGAGGGCUUUGGCUGAAUGAGUGUUAUGUUGUUGUGCACUAUGAACACCUUGAUCUGUAGUAACAAAAUUUUGUUCUUAUCUAUACUGUGUAUAUGGAAAAAUGACAAUAAAUUUGAGUUGACAAUAAA